This 65-nucleotide transfer RNA is filed under the name Euplotes focardii. It matches the Rfam family "tRNA", at positions 6 to 65 of the family's 71-position model. Rfam says of the family: Transfer RNA (tRNA) molecules are approximately 80 nucleotides in length. Their secondary structure includes four short double-helical elements and three loops (D, anti-codon, and T loops). The record is from RNAcentral. Lineage: Eukaryota; Ciliophora; Spirotrichea; Euplotida; Euplotidae.
GCGGUGUGGUCUAGUGGUAUGAUUCUUGCUUAGGGUGCAAGAGGUCCCGGGUUCAAUUCCCGGCA